This 637-nucleotide long non-coding RNA is filed under the name Ananas comosus (pineapple). RNAcentral's name for it is "long non-coding RNA (ACOM_LNC036748)". The record is from RNAcentral. Lineage: Eukaryota; Viridiplantae; Streptophyta; Magnoliopsida; Poales; Bromeliaceae.
GUUGUAAUUAUUUGAUCAAAAUUUUGUGAUAAGUAAUAUAACAAAAAAAGAAAGAAAGAAAGAAAGAAAAUGUAUGCAUUAGUAUAGAGAUGAGUAAUAGAAUAAUCAAGAGAAUUAAAAAAAAUAUGAAUAAAGCUACUAUGCUUUUUGAAGCAAGAAGGCCUCUGUGCUUUCACUUUGUUUUCGAUGGUGGAAUAUUUGAAUCGAUGGUCGAUUCUGUUAGACUUGAUUAAUACUAUUUGAAAUAUAUAAAACUUAAAUUUUGUGAUUUUUCGAUGUCAUUUACCUGGUGGUUGAAAUGUUUUAAAAUUCAAUUAUUUUAAUGGUCGAUAAGAGAAGUAUCCAAAUUUGGUGAAAUUUUGAUUUUUUUUUUUAACUAUCUACAGUAAGAUUAGUAUUUCUGAUCUAAAAUUUGAAUUUUCUAUCCUUACUUUUUAUGAGAUAUUUAUUUUUAGUCGUUCAUUUUAGGACCACUCGAUCACAAGUUAGAUGACGUCGAAAAAUUAUAAAAUCUAACUUUCAGUUACUUCAAAUAGUAUAAAUUAAGUUUAACAGAGCCAAUCAUCGAUUCAAAUGUUUCAUCAUCAAAAAUAAAGUGGAAUAUAGAGACCUCCGUGCUUCUAAAAGUAUAAUAGCC